CAUGAAGCCGGAAUUGCUAGUAAUGGCAGGUCAGCAUACUGCCGUGAAUACGUUCCCGGGCCUUGUACACACCGCCCGUCACACCAUGAGAGUUGGGAAUACCCGAAGCCUGUGAGCUAACUUAACGAGGCAGCAGUCGAAGGUAGAAUCAAUGAUUGGGGUGAAGUCGUAACAAGGUAAC
RNAcentral lists this ribosomal RNA (181 nucleotides) under uncultured bacterium. RNAcentral describes it as "partial 16S ribosomal RNA". It matches the Rfam family "Bacterial small subunit ribosomal RNA", at positions 1319 to 1500 of the family's 1533-position model. The record is from RNAcentral.